This is a long non-coding RNA of Leopardus geoffroyi (Geoffroy's cat), 373 nucleotides long. RefSeq lists it as uncharacterized. The transcript is spliced from 3 exons. The record is from RefSeq and is a predicted model, not a curated record. NCBI's taxonomy places the organism in Eukaryota, Metazoa, Chordata, Mammalia, Carnivora, Felidae.
ACUAUUUGUUAGAGUCAAGCCAGGUUUGAACCAGGAUGGACUUGCCUUAGAGUUUUAAGGUUUUGAAACACUAUUGUUCUCUACCUCCUAGGAACUUUUUGAUGAAUUACACCAAAGAACAUUUGUGUAACAAUGGUGUGUAGAACACUGGAAAGGCGUCAUGAUAAUUUGUAGGUAUCAUCUGUUUUCACAGAUGAAGAAAUGGAGGCCAAAAGUCAAUAAUCUGUCCAGUUUCACACAGCUGAUCAGUGGAAAGACUGGGGUUUGAAUUCUAAUCUGUUUGACAGGUGACUGCUCAUCAUGCACAGGCGGGUGAUAUUGAGGACCAUGACAACGGUGAAGGCCACAAGGCAGACGACCAUGUAGUAGACGC